AGUGAACGCUGGCGGCAGGCCUAACACAUGCAAGUCGAACGGUAACACGAAACGGCUUUCUUUUUCGCGGUCGCGUGUCGGAGGGGGGAGAAAUGUCCGGGAGACUGUCCUUUUUAGUGGGGGACCUACUGGAGACGCUAACGAUUACCCCAUAACGUCGCUACAGGAAAAAGGAGGACCUUUUGGGCCCUUGCGCGCUUGUAUGCCCCGAUGGGAGUAGCUAGUAGGGGGGGUAACGGCGCACCCAGGCGACGCUCCGUAGCUGGUCUGAGAGGAUGACCAGCCACACUGGAACUGAGACACGGUCCAGACUCCUACGGGAGGCAGCAGUGGGGAAUAUUGGACAAUGGGCGCAAGCCUGAUCCAGCCAUACCGCGUGUGUGAAGAAGGCCUUCGGGUUGUAAAGCCCUUUUGGCGGGAAAGAAGAGCAUCAGGUUAAUACCCCGCGGUACUGACGGUACCCGAAGAAGAAGCACCGGCUAACUUCGUG
Molecule: ribosomal RNA, 490 nt
Filed under: uncultured bacterium
Lineage: Bacteria
Description: partial 16S ribosomal RNA
Rfam family: Bacterial small subunit ribosomal RNA
Source: RNAcentral